CCGGUGGCGGCUGGGCAUGCGGCGCAUUAGCUUGACGGCGGGGUAACGGCCCACCGUGGCGACGAUGCGUAGGGGUUCUGAGAGGAAGGCCCCCCACACUGGAACUGAGACACGGUCCAGACUCCUACGGGAGGCAGCAGUGAGGAAUAUUGGUCAAUGGGCGGAAGCCUGAACCAGCCAAGUCGCGUGAGGGAAUAAGGCCCUACGGGUCGUAAACCUCUUUUGCCGGGGAGCAAGGGCCGGGACGCGUCCCGGCCCGGAGAGUACCCGGAGAAAAAGCAUCGGCUAACUCCGUGCCAGCAGCCGCGGUAAUACGGAGGAUGCGAGCGUUAUCCGGAUUUAUUGGGUUUAAAGGGUGCGUAGGCGGGCUUUUAAGUCAGCGGUAAAAAUUCGGGGCUCAACCCCGUCCGGCCGUUGAAACUGGGGGCCUUGAGUGGGCGAGAAGAAGGCGGAAUGCGUGGUGUAGCGGUGAAAUGCAUAGAUAUCACGCAGAACCCCGAUUGCGAAGGCAGCCUUCCGGCGCCCUACUGACGCUGAGGCACGAAAGUGCGGGGAUCGAACAGGAUUAGAUACCCUGGUAGUCCGCACAGUAAACGAUGGAUGCCAGCUGUCCGGGCCGAAUGGGGCCUGG
This 631-nucleotide ribosomal RNA is filed under the name uncultured bacterium. RNAcentral's name for it is "bacterial SSU rRNA". It matches the Rfam family "Bacterial small subunit ribosomal RNA", at positions 215 to 842 of the family's 1533-position model. The record is from RNAcentral.